RNAcentral lists this ribosomal RNA (468 nucleotides) under uncultured bacterium. RNAcentral's name for it is "partial 16S ribosomal RNA". It matches the Rfam family "Bacterial small subunit ribosomal RNA", at positions 28 to 507 of the family's 1533-position model. The record is from RNAcentral.
GACGAACGCUGGCGGCGUGCUUAACACAUGCAAGUCGAACGGAAAGGCCCUGCUUUUGUGGGGUGCUCGAGUGGCGAACGGGUGAGUAACACGUGAGUAACCUGCCCUUGACUUUGGGAUAACUUCAGGAAACUGGGGCUAAUACCGGAUAGGAGCUCCUGCUGCAUGGUGGGGGUUGGAAAGUUUCGGCGGUUGGGGAUGGACUCGCGGCUUAUCAGCUUGUUGGUGGGGUAGUGGCUUACCAAGGCUUUGACGGGUAGCCGGCCUGAGAGGGUGACCGGCGACAUUGGGACUGAGAUACGGCCCAGACUCCUACGGGAGGCAGCAGUGGGGAAUAUUGCACAAUAGGCGGAAGCCUGAUACAGCAACGCCGCGUGCGGGAUGACGGCCUUCGGGUUGUAAACCGCUUUCGCCUGUGACGAAGCGUGAGUGACGGUAAUGGGUAAAGAAGCACCGGCUAACUACGUG